UACGUAGGGUGCAAGCGUUAAUCGGAAUUACUGGGCGUAAAGCGUGCGCAGGCGGUUUUGUAAGACCGAUGUGAAAUCCCCGGGCUCAACCUGGGAACUGCAUUGGUGACUGCAAGGCUUGAGUGUGUCAGAGGGAGGUGGAAUUCCGCGUGUAGCAGUGAAAUGCGUAGAUAUGCGGAGGAACACCGAUGGCGAAGGCAGCCUCCUGGGCUAACACUGACGCUCAUGCACGAAAGCGUGGGGAGCAAACAGG
Molecule: ribosomal RNA, 253 nt
Filed under: uncultured bacterium
Lineage: Bacteria
Description: partial 16S ribosomal RNA
Rfam family: Bacterial small subunit ribosomal RNA
Source: RNAcentral